AUUAACCCGGGGAAAAUUUAAAACCCCAGGCCAACCUCGGUUAAUGCACGUGAGUGCCUGUCCGGAACCUUAAGGAAAUUUGGGACUGUGAAAGCCCNCGGCUCAACCGUGGAGGGNCAUUGGAAACUGNAAAACUUGAGUGCANAANAGGAAAGUGGAAUUCCAUGUGUAGCGGUNAAAUGCGCANAGAUAUGGANGAACACCAGUGGCGAAGGNNACUUUCUGGGUUAGGGAAGAACAAGUGCGAGAGUAACUGCUCGCACCUUGACGGUACCUAACCAGAAAGCCACGGCUAACUACGUGCCAGCAGCCGCGGUAAUACGUAGGUGGCAAGCGUUCUGAUGUCAGCGGCGGACGGGUGAGUAACACGUGGGNAACCUGCCUGUAAGACUGGUAUAACUNCNGNAAACCGGGUAAUCAUGCUUGUUUGGCUGUGACCCGAGUGCGUUUAGGGUUUAAACCCCUAGGAACCACGAGCAGUACUGGGAGUCACCAAGGCAACGUUAUCGACGAAAGUCUGACGGAGCAACGCCGCGUGAGUGAUGAAGGUUUUCGGAUCGUAAAGCUCUGUUGUUAGGGAAGAACAAGUCAACCUUACCAAUCUUGACAUCCUUUUUUUCGGAUCGUAAAGCUCUGUUGUUAGGGAAGAACAAGUGCGAGAGUAACUGCUCGCACCUUGACGGUACCUAACCAGAAAGCCACGCGGACGGGUGAGUAACACGUGGGNAACCUGCCUGUACCACGAAAAGCUGCAAGUCGAGCGAACUGAUUAGAAGCUUGCUUCUGGAUUGACGGGNACCCGCACGGUGGACAUGUGGUUAAUCNAAGCAACCAACCUUACCAAUCUUGACAUCCUUU
Molecule: ribosomal RNA, 858 nt
Filed under: uncultured Staphylococcus sp.
Lineage: Bacteria; Bacillati; Bacillota; Bacilli; Caryophanales; Staphylococcaceae
Description: partial 16S ribosomal RNA
Rfam family: Bacterial small subunit ribosomal RNA (bases 191-331)
Source: RNAcentral